GAAUUGCUGAAGUUGUGAAGGUUGAUGCUGUGAAUGCGCUCGGUCAUCCCCUUGCAACUGAUGUCACCUGCAGCAUGUCAACGCAGACACAAAACAGGGCAUGGGUCAGAUCUAGCUGGUUGCAUUCCUAACACCUAGGUUUCAGAGUAAAAAUACAGAGUCAGCUUGUGAUGGCAUUCCCUCAAAACAUGGAAGGAAUUGCAGUAAUGAAAGUCAUCAUGUAUUCUAAGAGACUGUUCUGCGAGAGCACAACACAGACGGGGCUAAAGCAGGGAUUGUCUAAGCCCAGUGUGGAGGAACCAUCAAGGAUUUCAGCACGUUUUUUUAGCCAUUGUACAGUUUGUGAAAAUUAAGUUUUACUCUGUGAAUAAAGAAUUGGAUAGAUAAUUCCAGACAACAUUCUGAAAGACACUUACGCCGUCAUUCCAAAGUUGAAAUGAAAUGAGGGGGAGAAGACUUGCUGGGACUAAGGAAAAAAGUCAAUGAAAUCUGAGUGAGAAGCAAAAGUGCUCAGGAGUUAAGAGAAGCAGACGUCCGAAAUUAUCUCCAUGCAUUACCAAAAACCGUGGGCACCACGGCACGGGGAAAACUUACCAGGUACAAUGAGCCAGUGACUGUUACUGAAUUUCUUAAGAUUACACUUUUCCCAACUACUGCAGACUGCUUCAGAAUAGAAGAAGACAACUCUCAUGCCAUCAAGCCGACGGACUUUCAAAAAAAUAAAAGAUGCAUUUCUUUACUUGGCCCAUGAGAAGUAAAAGCAGGCACUGGCAUUCUGCACAGAUGAAAUACUUCCUACGACAGGAAUACAUGCUCACUUGUGGACUUCUCUGUAAUCUGUAGGCAACAUCAGCUCCUGAUUUCUAGGUCUGGAUCUGGGUUCUCUGUAGCACAGGAAGGUCUCUACUUCUCCUACAUAAAUGCCUUGCAUGGCGGGAACUAAAUCAACUACACAGACCCAUACAUCCAGAGAGCAGAGGUGAGCUGGAUACAAGUGGCUUAGAGAUGUGGUGGAAGGAGGCCAGAGCUCCAAGGGAAGGGCAGCAAGGAGACAACAGCAUGGGUUGCAGCUCAGACAACAGGUAAAUAAAACCAAGCAAAGCUGCUGGUCACAGAUUUGACCAGGGUGGCAAGAAAUGACAAGCUACCAUGAGAUUCAACAGUGGCACGGAAGGAUGAUGAGAAGCAAACAGAUUAGGAGAAGCUGCCACCACCGUACAUAGAGGCACAGAUGACCAAGCAGAACAGCACCAGUCCCUGCAAGGUGUGCUCAGAUACAGCUCAGCACAGCCAUCUGGCCAGGAGGGAAUGAUAAUGCACAUGGUGUGCACUGCAGCCGGGAAGUUGAGAACCGCUGUGGGCACCUCAGGACUGAGUCUGGUUACCCUGCUGAUCCAAGAAAUGAAGCCAUCUAAAAUUUUGCCUGCUUUCACAAUUUUCUGUGUGUGUGUGUGUGUAUUAAACAAAGUGAACUAAGAAGC
RNAcentral lists this long non-coding RNA (1481 nucleotides) under Homo sapiens (human). RNAcentral's name for it is "HSALNT0313898". Lineage: Eukaryota; Metazoa; Chordata; Mammalia; Primates; Hominidae. The record is from RNAcentral.